Molecule: ribosomal RNA, 253 nt
Filed under: uncultured bacterium
Lineage: Bacteria
Description: partial 16S ribosomal RNA
Rfam family: Bacterial small subunit ribosomal RNA
Source: RNAcentral
UACGUAGGGUGCAAGCGUUGUCCGGAAUUAUUGGGCGUAAAGAGCUCGUAGGCGGCUUGUCGCGUCGUUCGUGAAAACCUGCGGCUCAACUGCAGGCUUGCGGUCGAUACGGGCAGGCUGGAGUUCGGUAGGGGAGACUGGAAUUCCUGGUGUAGCGGUGAAAUGCGCAGAUAUCAGGAGGAACACCGGUGGCGAAGGCGGGUCUCUGGGCCGAUACUGACGCUGAGGAGCGAAAGCGUGGGGAGCGAACAGG